This 371-nucleotide ribosomal RNA is filed under the name uncultured organism. RNAcentral's name for it is "partial 16S ribosomal RNA". It matches the Rfam family "Bacterial small subunit ribosomal RNA", at positions 527 to 896 of the family's 1533-position model. The record is from RNAcentral.
GUAGGUGGCAAGCGUUGUCCGGAAUUAUUGGGCGUAAAGCGCGCGCAGGCGGUUCUUUAAGUCUGAUGUGAAAGCCCGCGGCUCAACCGUGGAGGGUCAUUGGAAACUGGAGAACUUGAGUACAGAAGAGGAAAGCGGAAUUCCACGUGUAGCGGUGAAAUGCGUAGAGAUGUGGAGGAACACCAGUGGCGAAGGCGGCUUUCUGGUCUGUAACUGACGCUGAGGCGCGAAAGCGUGGGGAGCAAACAGGAUUAGAUACCCUGGUAGUCCACGCCGUAAACGAUGAGUGCUAAGUGUUAGGGGGUUUCCGCCCCCUUAGUGCUGCAGCUAACGCAUUAAGCACUCCGCCUGGGAGUACGGCCGCAAGGCUG